Molecule: unclassified non-coding RNA, 270 nt
Filed under: air metagenome
Description: partial contains small subunit ribosomal RNA, internal transcribed spacer 1, and 5.8S ribosomal RNA
Rfam family: Eukaryotic small subunit ribosomal RNA (bases 1-46)
Source: RNAcentral
AAGUCGUAACAAGGUCUCCGUUGGUGAACCAGCGGAGGGAUCAUUAUAGAGUUUUCUAAACUCCCAACCCAUGUGAACUUACCAUUGUUGCCUCGGCAGAAGCUGCCCGGUACACCUUACCUUGGAACGGCCUACCCUGUAGCGCCUUACCCUGGAACGGCUUACCCUGUAGCGGCUGCCGGUGGACUACCAAACUCUUGUUAUUUUAUUGUAAUCUGAGCGUCUUAUUUUAAUAAGUCAAAACUUUCAACAACGGAUCUCUUGGUUCUG